Molecule: ribosomal RNA, 254 nt
Filed under: uncultured bacterium
Lineage: Bacteria
Description: partial 16S ribosomal RNA
Rfam family: Bacterial small subunit ribosomal RNA
Source: RNAcentral
UACGUAGGGUGCAAGCGUUGUCCGGAAUUAUUGGGCGUAAAGAGCGUGUAGGCGGCCCCAUUAGUCCGCUGUGAAAGUCCAGGGCUCAACCCUGGGAUGCCGACCGAUACUGUCGGACUAGAGUUCGGAAGAGGCGAGUGGAAUUCCCGGUGUAGCGGUGAAAUGCGCAGAUAUCGGGAGGAACACCUAUGGCGAAGGCAGCUCGCUGGGACGUUACUGACGCUGGAGACGCGAAAGCGUGGGGAGCAAACAGG